UAGUCCCUGAAUCUGUUAGGGUGUUGUAUUUGGGAAGAACCAACACCAUAAAAAAGGGAGUUUGACUCUAGGCGUCUAAUGCAAGCCUCCUAAAGAGGAAGCAUGAACCGUUUAGGCGAACACCCACCGUGUUUGAUGCGGUUCUUUUCCAAAUCCGCCCUAAUGGUUCAGGGAUUUU
RNAcentral lists this non-coding RNA (178 nucleotides) under Calditrichota bacterium. RNAcentral's name for it is "Calditrichaeota bacterium (freshwater sediment metagenome) 6S RNA". It matches the Rfam family "6S / SsrS RNA". Rfam says of the family: E. coli 6S RNA was the first non coding RNA to be sequenced, but its function was unknown until recently. It consists of 184 nucleotides that fold into an extended hairpin structure with a large single-stranded internal bulge. Lineage: Bacteria; Pseudomonadati; Calditrichota. The record is from RNAcentral.